CUAGGGCAUACACCAAUGUACCAAACCCUAUCAAACUCCGAAUACCUUAUAUGUAAUCACAGCAGUCAGGCGGCGAGUGAUAAAAUCCGUCGUCGAGAGGGAAACAACCCAGACUACCAGCUAAGGUCCCUAAAUCUUACUUAAGUGGAAAACGAUGUGAAGUUACUUAAACAACCAGGAGGUUGGCUUAGAAGCAGCCAUCCUUUAAAGAAAGCGUAAUAGCUCACUGGUCUAGUGAUUUUGCGCGGAAAAUAUAACGGGGCUAAAGUAAGUACCGAAGCUGUAGACUUGCACACAACUUAGAUUAUUUAAGUUUAGAAUAUGAGAAACUAAGUUAUGUUUAGUUAUAUUUUUACUGAUUUUUAUAGAGUAAAGAUAGAAAUAAAACUUAGUAAAAUCAGUAAAAAUAUUCUUAGGCUAAAGUUAAGUAGUUUAAGUUGUGUGCAAGUGGUAGGAGAGCGUUCUAUUUGCGUCGAAGGUAUACCGGUAAGGAGUGCUGGAGCGAAUAGAAGUGAGCAUGCAGGCAUGAGUAGCGAUAAUUAAUGUGAGAAUCAUUAACGCCGUAAACCCAAGGUUUCCUACGCGAUGCUCGUCAUCGUAGGGUUAGUCGGGUCCUAAGUCGAGUCCGAAAGGGGUAGACGAUGGCAAAUUGGUUAAUAUUCCAAUACCAACAUUAGUGUGCGAUGGAAGGACGCUUAGGGCUAAGGGGGCUAGCGGAUGGAAGUGCUAGUCUAAGGUCGUAGGAGGUUAUACAGGCAAAUCCGUAUAACAAUACUCCGAGAACUGAAAGGCUUUUUGAAGUCUUCGGAUGGAUAGAAGAACCCCUGAUGCCGUCGAGCCAAGAAAAGUUUCUAAGUUUAGCUAAUGUUGCCCGUACCGUAAACCGACACAGGUGGGUGGGAUGAGUAUUCUAAGGCGCGUGGAAGAACUCUCUUUAAGGAACUCUGCAAAAUAGCACCGUAUCUUCGGUAUAAGGUGUGGUUAGCUUCGUACUAGGAUUUACUCCGAAAGCGAAGAAACUUACAACAAAGAGUCCCUCCCGACUGUUUACCAAAAACACAGCACUCUGCUAACUCGUAAGAGGAUGUAUAGGGUGUGACGCCUGCCCGGUGCUCGAAGGUUAAUUGAUGGGGUUAGCAUUAGCGAAGCUCUUGAUCGAAGCCCGAGUAAACGGCGGCCGUAACUAUAACGGUCCUAAGGUAGCGAAAUUCCUUGUCGGUUAAAUACCGACCUGCAUGAAUGGCGUAACGAGAUGGGAGCUGUCUCAAAGAGGGAUCCAGUGAAAUUGUAGUGGAGGUGAAAAUUCCUCCUACCCGCGGCAAGACGGAAAGACCCCGUGGACCUUUACUACAGCUUGACACUGCUACUUGGAUAAGAAUGUGCAGGAUAGGUGGGAGGCUUUGAGUAUAUGACGCCAGUUGUAUAUGAGCCAUUGUUGAGAUACCACUCUUUCUUAUUUGGGUAGCUAACCAGCUUGAGUUAUCCUCAAGUGGGACAAUGUCUGGUGGGUAGUUUGACUGGGGCGGUCGCCUCCCAAAUAAUAACGGAGGCUUACAAAGGUUGGCUCAGAACGGUUGGAAAUCGUUCGUAGAGUAUAAAGGUAUAAGCCAGCUUAACUGCAAGACAUACAAGUCAAGCAGAGACGAAAGUCGGUCUUAGUGAUCCGGUGGUUCUGUGUGGAAGGGCCAUCGCUCAAAGGAUAAAAGGUACCCCGGGGAUAACAGGCUGAUCUCCCCCAAGAGCUCACAUCGACGGGGAGGUUUGGCACCUCGAUGUCGGCUCAUCGCAUCCUGGGGCUGGAGCAGGUCCCAAGGGUAUGGCUGUUCGCCAUUUAAAGCGGUACGCGAGCUGGGUUCAGAACGUCGUGAGACAGUUCGGUCCCUAUCUGCCGUGGGCGUAAGAAGAUUGAAGAGAUUUGACCCUAGUACGAGAGGACCGGGUUGAACAAACCACUGGUGUAGCUGUUGUUCUGCCAAGAGCAUCGCAGCGUAGCUAAGUUUGGAAAGGAUAAACGCUGAAAGCAUCUAAGCGUGAAGCCAACUCUAAGAUGAAUCUUCUCUAAGCUCUCUAGAAGACUACUAGUUUGAUAGGCUGGGUGUGUAAUGGAUGAAAGUCCUUUAGCUGACCAGUACUAAUAGAGCGUUUGGCUUAUCUUU
Molecule: ribosomal RNA, 2156 nt
Filed under: Campylobacter jejuni
Lineage: Bacteria; Pseudomonadati; Campylobacterota; Epsilonproteobacteria; Campylobacterales; Campylobacteraceae
Description: partial 23S ribosomal RNA
Rfam family: Bacterial large subunit ribosomal RNA
Source: RNAcentral